AUUGCCCUAGUAACGGCGAGUGAAGCGGCAACAGCUCAAAUUUGAAAUCUGGCUCUUUCAGGGUCCGAGUUGUAAUUUGCAGAGGGCGCUUUGGCUUUGGCAGCGGUCCAAGUUCCUUGGAACAGGACGUCACAGAGGGUGAGAAUCCCGUACGUGGUCGCUAGCUAUUGCCGUGUAAAGCCCCUUCGACGAGUCGAGUUGUUUGGGAAUGCAGCUCUAAAUGGGAGGUAAAUUUCUUCUAAAGCUAAAUACUGGCCAGAGACCGAUAGCGCACAAGUAGAGUGAUCGAAAGAUGAAAAGCACUUUGGAAAGAGAGUCAAACAGCACGUGAAAUUGUUGAAAGGGAAGCGCUUGCAGCCAGACUUGCUUGCAGUUGCUCAUCCGGGCUUUUGCCCGGUGCACUCUUCUGCAGGCAGGCCAGCAUCAGUUUGGGCGGUGGGAUAAAGGUCUCUGUCACGUACCUCUCUUCGGGGAGGCCUUAUAGGGGAGACGACAUACCACCAGCCUGGACUGAGGUCCGCGCAUUCGCUAGGAUGCUGGCGUAAUGGCUGUAAGCGGCCCGUCUUGAAACACGGACCAAGGAGUCUAACAUCUAUGCGAGUGUUUGGGUGUCAAGCCCGAACGCGUAAUGAAAGUGAACGGAGGUGGGAACCCGCAAGGGUGCACCAUCGACCGAUCCUGAUGUCUUCGGAAGGAUUUGAGUAAGAGCAUGGCUGUUGGGACCCGAAAGAUGGUGAACUAUGCUUGAAUAGGGUGAAGCCAGAGGAAACUCUGGUGGAGGCUCGCAGCGGUUCUGACGUGCAAAUCGAUCGUCAAAUUUGGGCAUAGGGGCGAAAGACUAAUCGAAUAUCUAGUA
RNAcentral lists this ribosomal RNA (856 nucleotides) under Pyrenophora lolii. Its description in RNAcentral is "partial large subunit ribosomal RNA". It matches the Rfam family "Eukaryotic large subunit ribosomal RNA", at positions 74 to 949 of the family's 3401-position model. The record is from RNAcentral. Lineage: Eukaryota; Fungi; Ascomycota; Dothideomycetes; Pleosporales; Pleosporaceae.